AUCCAGCUGACGAGUCUCAAAUAGGACGAAACGCGCGUCAAAAUGGAU
This is a non-coding RNA of Schistosoma mansoni, 48 nucleotides long. The record is from Rfam. Lineage: Eukaryota; Metazoa; Platyhelminthes; Trematoda; Strigeidida; Schistosomatidae.